UGACUCCUACGGGACGCAGCAGUGAGGAAUAUUGGUCAAUGGACGAGAGUCUGAACCAGCCAAGUAGCGUGAAGGAUGACUGCCCUAUGGGUUGUAAACUUCUUUUAUAUGGGAAUAAAAUGUUCCACGUGUGGGAUUUUGUAUGUACCAUAUGAAUAAGGAUCGGCUAACUCCGUGCCAGCAGCCGCGGUAAUACGGAGGAUCCGAGCGUUAUCCGGAUUUAUUGGGUUUAAAGGGAGCGUAGGCCGGCUUUUAAGUCAGCUGUGAAAGUCCGCGGCUCAACCGUGGAAUUGCAGUUGAAACUG
RNAcentral lists this ribosomal RNA (305 nucleotides) under uncultured bacterium. Its description in RNAcentral is "bacterial SSU rRNA". It matches the Rfam family "Bacterial small subunit ribosomal RNA", at positions 333 to 635 of the family's 1533-position model. The record is from RNAcentral.